UUGGCUUCAUAAUUUUUAAUAAAGUUUAAAAAUAUCUCAAAAUGAAUUUUGAAAAUCAAUAAUAAUUUUAUAAUUUUGAAGGAAGGAAGGGAGUACCUGGUUUUGAGCAGCUUCGGCUCUGAUCCCGAGAACUCCAGCAAUUACAUCUAAUGUAAUGAUCAAAAUGCACACAAAAACACCAACCAUUUUGGCCAUUUUGCUAUAUUUUCGAGAAGAAGAAAUUUGGUUAUGGAGUCUCUCUCUCUCUCUCUCUCUCUCUCUCCCACUUUCUGUGUUGGGUGCUCAAGUUUAGAUAAUACUAGGAAGAAAGUGAAUUAGUAAUAUAGAUAGAUAUAUAUAUAUAUAUAUAUAUAUUUACUUGUACUAUUCUGCCAACGAGAUUAGCGGUGGAUGAUGCAUGGAAAAGUGUGUUUAAUUUGUGAAGAUCGAGCAGUCCUUGUUUAACUUUACUUACUACUACUACACUAGUACUUUUUAUACUUAGCAAGUGUGUCUCCUAUUUUUUUUGGACUUUGGAUUCCUUUGAAGGGGUAAGAUGAUAGCUAGGCCUAGGCAUCCUCAUCUAAAGCUGAAUUCAUCAAUUUCGGUGGGUAAUUCAUUCAUCAUAAAGGCUUUUUUCACUAUCAAAGAUUGUGCAUGCUCCAUUUACGGCAGG
RNAcentral lists this long non-coding RNA (655 nucleotides) under Panax ginseng (ginseng). Its description in RNAcentral is "long non-coding RNA (PGIN_LNC015016)". Lineage: Eukaryota; Viridiplantae; Streptophyta; Magnoliopsida; Apiales; Araliaceae. The record is from RNAcentral.